UACGUAGGGUGCAAGCGUUGUCCGGAAUUAUUGGGCGUAAAGAGCUCGUAGGCGGUUUGUCGCGUCGGGCGUGAAAACCCAGGGCUUAACCCUGGGCUUGCUUCCGAUACGGGCAGACUAGAGGUAUGCAGGGGAGAAUGGAAUUCCUGGUGUAGCGGUGAAAUGCGCAGAUAUCAGGAGGAACACCGGUGGCGAAGGCGGUUCUCUGGGCAGUACCUGACGCUGAGGAGCGAAAGUGUGGGGAGCGAACAGG
This 253-nucleotide ribosomal RNA is filed under the name uncultured bacterium. RNAcentral's name for it is "partial 16S ribosomal RNA". It matches the Rfam family "Bacterial small subunit ribosomal RNA", at positions 524 to 776 of the family's 1533-position model. The record is from RNAcentral.